GAUGAACGCUGGCGGCGUGCCUAAUACAUGCAAGUCGAGCGAACAGACGAGGAACUUGCUCCUCUGACGUUAGCGGCGGACGGGUGAGUAACACGUGGAUAACCUACCUAUAAGACUGGGAUAACUUCGGGAAACCGUAGCUAAUACCGGAUAAUAUAUUGAACCGCAUGGUUCAAUAGUGAAAGACGGUUUUGCUGUCACUUAUAGAUGGAUCCGCGCCGCAUUAGCUAGUUGGUAAGGUAACGGCUUACCAAGGCAACGAUGCGUAGCCGACCUGAGAGGGUGAUCGGCCAAACUGGAACUGAGACACGGUCCAGACUCCUACGGGAGGCAGCAGUAGGGAAUCUUCCGCAAUGGGCGAAAGCCUGACGGAGCAACGCCGCGUGAGUGAUGAAGGUCUUCGGAUCGUAAAACUCUGUUAUUAGGGAAGAACAAAUGUGUAAGUAACUAUGCACGUCUUGACGGUACCUAAUCAGAAAGCCACGGCUAACUACGUG
This 497-nucleotide ribosomal RNA is filed under the name uncultured bacterium. Its description in RNAcentral is "partial 16S ribosomal RNA". It matches the Rfam family "Bacterial small subunit ribosomal RNA", at positions 28 to 507 of the family's 1533-position model. The record is from RNAcentral.